This 292-nucleotide ribosomal RNA is filed under the name uncultured bacterium. RNAcentral describes it as "partial 16S ribosomal RNA". It matches the Rfam family "Bacterial small subunit ribosomal RNA", at positions 505 to 796 of the family's 1533-position model. The record is from RNAcentral.
GUGCCAGCAGCCGCGGUAAUACGAAGGGGGCGAGCGUUAUUCGGAAUCACUGGGCGUAAAGCGUGCGUAGGCUGUUUUGUAAGUCAGAAGUGAAAGCCCAGGGCUUAACCCUGGAAUUGCUUUUGAAACUACAAGACUCGAAUUCGGGAGAGGAUAGCGGAAUUGUCAGUGUAGCAGUGAAAUGCGUAGAUAUUGACAGGAACACCAGUGGCGCAAGCGGCUAUCUGGACCGACAUUGACGCUGAGGCACGAAAGCGUGGGGAGCAAACAGGAUUAGAAACCCUGGUAGUCC